UGUCGUUGUUGAUGUCGUUAUUGUUGUUGUCGUCGUCGCAAGGUGUACCUGGCAUGCGAGCGGAGCGGCCGUCCCGACGGAGUGGAGUUGGCUCGCCCGCUGUGGGAGUUGUCACGGCUGUCAUUCACUCGUGGGGACUCGGUGACGGGCCUCGCCGUCUCAGCACAGGUGGUUCGGAUUCUCCACAGCCACCUCUGUGAGCUGACACGACGCCACGCACAGAGGAGGGCACCUACGGCACAGGUGCAUGCUGGGAGAUAUCCCAGCAUGCCUCGGGAGGCAGACGACGCGGAGGCCGAGCUUGAUGCUGAGAUUUUCCAAGCAGAAGCCCUGCUUAUCCUGACUAGCAUUUCGGAGCAGUGUGGGCCUUCCCUGGGCCCUGGCAAGGUCCAGCAGCAGCUGGGCCAAGCACUGGAAAUGAUAGAACAGAUAAGCGGAAACGGGAAACGCACAGAGGACACAGCUCUCCCACAAUAACCACCACAACCACCACCACACAGAGACCCACAGACUCACCACACAGAGACCCACAGACUCACCACACAG
Molecule: non-coding RNA, 546 nt
Organism: Petromyzon marinus (sea lamprey)
Lineage: Eukaryota; Metazoa; Chordata; Hyperoartia; Petromyzontiformes; Petromyzontidae
Source: RefSeq, a predicted model, not a curated record